GAUGAACGCUAGCUACAGGCUUAACACAUGCAAGUCGAGGGGCAGCACAGUGUAGCAAUACAUGGGUGGCGACCGGCGCACGGGUGCGUAACGCGUAUCCAACCUUCCCGUUACUCUUGGAUAGCCUUCCGAAAGGGAGAUUAAUACAAGAUGGUAUUCAAAUUCCGCAUGUUAUUUGAAUUAAAGAUUUAUCGGUAACGGAUGGGGAUGCGUGACAUUAGAUAGUAGGCGGGGUAACGGCCCACCUAGUCUACGAUGUCUAGGGGUUCUGAGAGGAAGGUCCCCCACACUGGAACUGAGACACGGUCCAGACUCCUACGGGAGGCAGCAGUGAGGAAUAUUGGUCCAAAUGGUCGGAAGACUGAACCAGCCAAGUAGCGUGAAGGAUGAAGGUUCUAUGGAUUGGUAAACCUUCUUUUGUAAGGGAGCCAAUAAGGCGCACGUGUGCGUCGAUGAGAGUACCUUACGAAUAAGCAUCGGCUAACUCCGUGCCAGCAGCCGCGGU
This 505-nucleotide ribosomal RNA is filed under the name uncultured bacterium. Its description in RNAcentral is "bacterial SSU rRNA". It matches the Rfam family "Bacterial small subunit ribosomal RNA", at positions 28 to 521 of the family's 1533-position model. The record is from RNAcentral.